This 337-nucleotide unclassified non-coding RNA is filed under the name soil metagenome. RNAcentral describes it as "partial contains 5.8S ribosomal RNA, internal transcribed spacer 2, and large subunit ribosomal RNA". The stretch from base 1 to 120 matches the Rfam family "5.8S ribosomal RNA", at positions 35 to 154 of the family's 154-position model. The record is from RNAcentral.
GAUGAAGAACGUAGCGAAAUGCGAUAAGUAGUGUGAAUUGCAGAAUUCAGUGAAUCAUCGAAUCUUUGAACGCACAUUGCGCCCUUUGGUAUUCCUUAGGGCAUGCCUGUUCGAGCGUCAUCUAAACCUUCAAGCCCUGCUUGGUGUUGGGUGCCUGUCCCGCCACUGCGCGUGGACUCACCUCAAAUCCAUUGGCGGCCCCCGCGUCGGCCACGAGCGCAGCAGAAACGCGAACUCGUGAGCCCGUCCGGGCGGCUCCCAGAAGCUAACCCCCAAUUUUUGACCUCGGAUCAGGUAGGGAUACCCGCUGAACUUAAGCAUAUCAAUAAGCGGAGGA